GACGAACGCUGGCGGCGUGCUUAACACAUGCAAGUCGAACGAUGAAGAAGAGAAACGCGAACUUCGGUUCAAAUUUCACUUCGGAUUAGUGGCAGACGGGUGAGUAACGCGUGAGCAACCUACCUCUUACAAAGGGAUAGCCUCGGGAAACCGUGAUUAAUACCAUAUGACACAUUCAUAAGGCAUCUUAAGAAUGUUAAAGCUACGGCGGUAAGAGAUGGGCUCGCGUCCCAUUUGCUAGUUGGUGAGGUAACGGCCCACCAAGGCGACGAUGGGUAACCGGCCUGAGAGGGUGAACGGUCACAUUGGAACUGAGACACGGUCCAAACUCCUACGGGAGGCAGCAGUGGGGAAUAUUGCACAAUGGAGGGAACUCUGAUGCAGCGACGCCGCGUGAGCGAUGAGGGAAUUCGUUUCGUAAAGCUCUGUUCUAUGGGAAGAAAAGGACUGUACCAUAGGAGAAAGCCCCGGCUAAAUACGUG
Molecule: ribosomal RNA, 482 nt
Filed under: uncultured bacterium
Lineage: Bacteria
Description: partial 16S ribosomal RNA
Rfam family: Bacterial small subunit ribosomal RNA
Source: RNAcentral